CCCUUAGAUGUUCUGGGCUGCACGCGCGCUACACUGAUGCAUCCAACAAGUUUUUUCCUUGUUCGAGAGGACUAGGUAAUCUUAUGAGAAUGCAUCGUGAUGGGGAUAGAUUAUUGCAAUUAUUAAUCUUCAACGAGGAAUUCCUAGUAAGCGCGAGUCAUCAGCUCGUGCUGAUUACGCCCCUGCCCUUUGUACACACCGCCCGUCGCUGCAACUGAUUAGGUGACCUGGUGAACAUCUUGGACCGGCUCACUCAAUUUCGAGAGGACUGGAAAAGGCCGUAAAUCAGGUACAUCUAGAAAUUGCAAAAGUCGUAACA
This 319-nucleotide ribosomal RNA is filed under the name uncultured eukaryote. RNAcentral's name for it is "partial 18S ribosomal RNA". It matches the Rfam family "Eukaryotic small subunit ribosomal RNA", at positions 1470 to 1796 of the family's 1831-position model. The record is from RNAcentral.